GACGAACGCUGGCGGCGUGCUUAACACAUGCAAGUCGAACGGAAAGGCCCUGCUUUUGUGGGGUGCUCGAGUGGCGAACGGGUGAGUAACACGUGAGUAACCUGCCCUUGACUUUGGGAUAACUUCAGGAAACUGGGGCUAAUACCGGAUAGGAGCUCCUGCUGCAUGGUGGGGGUUGGAAAGUUUCGGCGGUUGGGGAUGGACUCGCGGCUUAUCAGCUUGUUGGUGGGGUAGUGGCUUACCAAGGCUUUGACGGGUAGCCGGCCUGAGAGGGUGACCGGCCACAUUGGGACUGAGAUACGGCCCAGACUCCUACGGGAGGCAGCAGUGAGGAAUAUUGCACAAUGGGCGGAAGCCUGAUGCAGCAACGCCGCGUGCGGGAUGACGGCCUUCGGGUUGUAAACCGCUUUCGCCUGUGACGAAGCGUGAGUGUCGGUAAUGGGUAAAGAAGCACCGGCUAACUACGUG
RNAcentral lists this ribosomal RNA (468 nucleotides) under uncultured bacterium. RNAcentral describes it as "partial 16S ribosomal RNA". It matches the Rfam family "Bacterial small subunit ribosomal RNA", at positions 28 to 507 of the family's 1533-position model. The record is from RNAcentral.